Molecule: long non-coding RNA, 371 nt
Organism: Drosophila biarmipes
Lineage: Eukaryota; Metazoa; Arthropoda; Insecta; Diptera; Drosophilidae
Exons: 2
Source: RefSeq, a predicted model, not a curated record
GAAAAUUCAUUUCCAAAGUUACUGAGUACUCUUUGGGCACUAAUGCAAGAGCCAAAGAGCGUGGCUGGUCCUGGUCUGCAUAGCGUGGUAUAUUAGAAGGAACCAGCCGUAUCAGACAACUAUAUUUUAUAACUCCAAUAGGAAUAACCAGAAUAAAAAUAAAAAAAAACUAGUUCUGAAUUUCGAAUUUACCUACAUACAUAUAUUAAAAUGUCAUUCGAACGACCGGAAAAUUGGUGGAAAAAUAAUACGAAAAAAAUAUAAAUUUGGUGUUUUUUAACAUUUUAUUUUAUACUAUUGGAAAUAUAAUUUAUGUAUUCUUAAGAGCUUCGAAUUAAAUUUAAUAAAAAUCCAACGACUUUAACAUAUAA